GGGGACGGCGUGGUGGACAUCAUUGAGCUCCAGGAGGGGCUGAGAAACUGGAGCUCCGCGUUUGACCCCAACUCCGAGGAGCAUGGAUAGUGAUGGAUCAAUGACAGUAGACUGGGAUGAAUGGAAGUACUACUUUUUACUGCAUCCUGCAACAAAUAUCACUGAAAUGAUUCAUUUCUGGAAGCAUUCUACUGCCCAGUUACUGAGGAAGCUGUUUUAUAUUUCCACCUGCAACACAGAAUUUUCAGCUCCUGCUCUUACCUAAGGACUGACUGAACUGAGUCACCUAUCUGAAAAGAAUAUAGAUCACAGAUGGAAUCAAACAUGCGGAAGGAUGAUGGGUUAUGUGUCUUACCAUCUAAUGCCAUUCAAAGUAUGUUCCCUACACUUAGCCCACUGAAUUAAAGGUUUAUCUCCAUGGGAUGCAUUAACCAGAAUCUCAACCUAUAUUUAUGUAAGAAAUAUUAGGCAUGGGGGGAAUAGUAUUUACUCCCCUUGGUGCUCCCACAGUACUAUGUGUAUCAUCUGUCUGGGUAGAUAGCACUUAUAUCACAUUUUAUUAUUACCUAUCUAACUAACUAUUGUCCAAGAGAGCUUGUAAAUUCUCUAAGGACAAAAACUAUGUCUAACAUUUUCCUAUAGUCCCUAAUGCCUAUUAAAGCAGCUAGUACAUAAUUGGCCCUAAAUAAAUAUAUGUGGAAUUAAUGAAGUCUUUUCCCUUGCAAAACCUAUCCUUCUAACAACCUAUAUUUUCCAUAAAUGAUAUAUUUAUAUAAGUUUAAUUCCUAAUUAAGAUAAAUCAUUUUUUAGAAUGAGACAGAAGUAUAAACUAAAUAGUUCUUAAACAUGUGACACUAAAGUUAUUACACAAUUAAUUCACAUUGUAUAAUAACUGUUCAUAAUGCAUUACUAAAAUGUCACCAACAUUACCGAAAAGCAAAAGAUAGUAAAACACCCACAUAUGUGAAUUUAAUUUGAAAUUUAAGUUAAUUAGGUUGUGGAUGAUUAAUUUUUAUAUCCUUGCAGAGAAAGUAUUCAGCAAAUAUCAAACUUUAAUUGUGGAUUCUACUUAUGAUAAUUAACACAUUAAGCCAUGCACUAUUUUAUAACUACUGUUG
Molecule: long non-coding RNA, 1118 nt
Filed under: Homo sapiens (human)
Lineage: Eukaryota; Metazoa; Chordata; Mammalia; Primates; Hominidae
Description: HSALNT0294491
Source: RNAcentral